RNAcentral lists this ribosomal RNA (136 nucleotides) under Venturia crataegi. RNAcentral's name for it is "partial 18S ribosomal RNA". Lineage: Eukaryota; Fungi; Ascomycota; Dothideomycetes; Venturiales; Venturiaceae. The record is from RNAcentral.
GCCAACCCCCGCUUAAGAUAUAGUCGGGCCCUCUGGGAGACCAGAGGUGUUCAGUCGCCGGGUUUGGCGGCCAGCGCCCCAAGCCCGGCACGGGAGUACAACACCGUUCCGUAGGUGAACCUGCGGAAGGAUCAUU